CCUACGGGAGGCAGCAGUGGGGAAUCUUAGACAAUGGGGGAAACCCUGAUCUAGCCAUGCCGCGUGAUCGAUGAAGGCCUUAGGGUUGUAAAGAUCUUUCAGAUGGGAAGAUAAUGACGGUACCAUCAGAAGAAGCCCCGGCUAACUCCGUGCCAGCAGCCGCGGUAAUACGGAGGGGGCUAGCGUUAUUCGGAAUUACUGGGCGUAAAGCGCACGUAGGCGGAUCAGAAAGUCAGAGGUGAAAUCCCAGGGCUCAACCUUGGAACUGCCUUUGAAACUCCUGGUCUUGAGGUCGAGAGAGGUGAGUGGAAUUCCGAGUGUAGAGGUGAAAUUCGUAGAUAUUCGGAGGAACACCAGUGGCGAAGGCGGCUCACUGGCUCGAUACUGACGCUG
RNAcentral lists this ribosomal RNA (393 nucleotides) under uncultured bacterium. RNAcentral describes it as "bacterial SSU rRNA". It matches the Rfam family "Bacterial small subunit ribosomal RNA", at positions 338 to 748 of the family's 1533-position model. The record is from RNAcentral.